Molecule: long non-coding RNA, 492 nt
Organism: Neofelis nebulosa (Clouded leopard)
Lineage: Eukaryota; Metazoa; Chordata; Mammalia; Carnivora; Felidae
Exons: 3
Source: RefSeq, a predicted model, not a curated record
AGAUGAGGAAACUAAGGCGGGAGAGGAAGCAUUUGCCCAAAUCACAGUAAGUGGUGGGGCCAACCAGUCAUUGAGCUCCUGGUGUUCCUUGGCAGUCCUUGGUUUGUGGCCACAUCACGCCAACCUCUGCUCUGUCUUCAACUGGUCUUCUUCACCGUAUCUCCUCUCCUCUUCUUCUAAGGACACCAAUCACUGGACUUAGGGCCCAAUCUACACUGGGCUAUUGAAUACCCAAGUGGCCAAUGCAAUUGGAGAGUAGAUAAAUCAUUCAUUCCAAAAGGCAAGGAAAAAACUGAAACCCAAAGCAAUGGAGAGGAUGGAACCAGAGACAUGGCGGGUUCAAGUACUGCCUUUGUCACCUACUGACUUCUGACUCUAUGACCUCUUGAGCCUCAAUUUCAUCAAAAAAAGGGGGGGAUAAUAAUCACACCUCUCUCUCUGGUUCAUUUUGAGAUUAAGUGCCUGGCAAAGAGUGAGCACCCAAAUAAAUGU